Molecule: ribosomal RNA, 459 nt
Filed under: uncultured bacterium
Lineage: Bacteria
Description: partial 16S ribosomal RNA
Rfam family: Bacterial small subunit ribosomal RNA
Source: RNAcentral
CCUACGGGAGGCAGCAGUGAGGAAUAUUGGUCAAUGGGCUAAGGCCUGAACCAGCCAAGUCGCGUGAGGGAAGACGGUCCUAUGGAUUGUAAACCUCUUUUGUCGGGGAGCAACGAGGCCACGUGUGGCCGAAGUGAGAGUACCCGAAGAAAAAGCAUCGGCUAACUCCGUGCCAGCAGCCGCGGUAAUACGGAGGAUGCGAGCGUUAUCCGGAUUUAUUGGGUUUAAAGGGUGCGUAGGCGGGACCUUAAGUCAGCGGUAAAAUUGCGGUGCUCAACGCCGUAGAGCCGUUGAAACUGGGGCUCUUGAGUGAGCGAGAAGUAUGCGGAAUGCGUGGUGUAGCGGUGAAAUGCAUAGAUAUCACGCAGAACCCCGAUUGCGAAGGCAGCAUACCGGCGCUCAACUGACGCUGAGGCACGAAAGUGCGGGUAUCGAACAGGAUUAGAUACCCGGGUAGUC